Molecule: ribosomal RNA, 1164 nt
Filed under: Gnathoribautia bonensis
Lineage: Eukaryota; Metazoa; Arthropoda; Chilopoda; Geophilomorpha; Geophilidae
Description: eukaryotic LSU rRNA
Rfam family: Eukaryotic large subunit ribosomal RNA
Source: RNAcentral
GUCGGUGAGGCGGAGCAAGAGCACACACGUUGGGACCCGAAAGAUGGUGAACUAUGCCCGGGCAGGACGAAGCCAGAGGAAACUCUGGUGGAGGUCCGCAGCGAUUCUGACGUGCAAAUCGAUCGUCGGACCUGGGUAUAGGGGCGAAAGACUAAUCGAACCGUCUAGUAGCUGGUUCCCUCCGAAGUUUCCCUCAGGAUAGCUGGCGCUCGGGAAACGAAAAGUCUCAUCCGGUAAAGCGAAUGAUUAGAGGCAUUGGGGCCGAAACGACCUCAACCUAUUCUCAAACUUUCAAUGGGUGAGAUGUCCGGCUUGCUUAACCUCACGCGAAGCUCGGACAUCGGAUGCGAGUGCCCAAUGGGCCGCUUUUGGUAAGCAGAACGUGGCGCUGUGGGAUGAACCAAAAGCCGGGUUACGGCGCCCGAUGCGGACGCUCAUUAGACCCCAUGAAAGGUGUUGGUUGCUAUUGACAGCAGGACGGUGGCCAUGGAAGUCGGAAUCCGCUAAGGAGUGUGUAGCAACUCACCUGCCGAAGCAACUAGCCCUGAAAAUGGAUGGCGCUCCAGCGUCGAGCCUAACCCCGGCCGUCGGAAGGCAGGAAACUUUUUUUUGUUUUCCUUCACGGGAAAGGAACGAAAAGAGAGCGACGCCCCGACGAGUAGGAGGGUCGCGGCGGUGUGCGUUGAAGGUGUCGGGCGCGAGCCCGCCUGGAGCCGCCGCCGGUGCAGAUCUUGGUGGUAGUAGCAAAUACUCGAGUGAGAACCUUGAGGACUGAAGUGGAGAAGGGUUCCAUGUGAACAGCAGUUGAACAUGGGUCAGUCGGCCCUAAGGAAUAGGGGAAACCCGUUCCGAAGCGUGUCGUUUUUUUAUUAUUAAAAUCAUUUAAACGGCAACAGACCGAAAGGGAAUCGGGUUAAUAUUCCCGAACCCGGAUGCGGAGAUCGAUCUCCCCUCCUUAACCGGAGGGAGGUCUGAAGCGGUAACGCGCAACGAACUCGGAGAUGCCGGCGGGGGCCCUGGGAAGAGUUUUCUUUUCUUUGUAAAGGACGGACUCCCUGGAAUCGGCUCGACCGGAGAGAGGGACGUUGUUCCUGUAAAGCACCGCGGCUCUUGCGGUGUCCAGUGAGCUCCCGCUGGCCCUUGAAAAUCCCAGCAAGGAAAAAA